This is a non-coding RNA of Pelobates cultripes (western spadefoot toad), 254 nucleotides long. The record is from the annotation of a GenBank genome assembly. Lineage: Eukaryota; Metazoa; Chordata; Amphibia; Anura; Pelobatidae.
UUCUGUCUUUAUUUUUUUUGAAGAAUGACAUCCAAGAUGUGCUGCCAUUCCUCCUGUUUUAGCUGCUUUUCUUGAAUACAGCCCCAAAAAUCCAGCUGUUCACCAGCACUUCUUCUCCAAAGAAAAAUACACACAAAGAAAUCAUAUAAGAAUCGUGUAGAUUAAAUACUUAGUGAGACUAUUCACUAAACUCGGAACUGUAGUGAAUAGGAAUCUGGAUUACAAAACUGGGGCAAAAAUGGCCAACUUGUGAC